This 521-nucleotide ribosomal RNA is filed under the name uncultured bacterium. Its description in RNAcentral is "bacterial SSU rRNA". It matches the Rfam family "Bacterial small subunit ribosomal RNA", at positions 988 to 1509 of the family's 1533-position model. The record is from RNAcentral.
CCAGAGAACUUAGCAGAGAUGCUUUGGUGCCUUCGGGAACUCUGAGACAGGUGCUGCAUGGCUGUCGUCAGCUCGUGUUGUGAAAUGUUGGGUUAAGUCCCGCAACGAGCGCAACCCUUAUCCUUUGUUGCCAGCGGUCCGGCCGGGAACUCAAAGGAGACUGCCAGUGAUAAACUGGAGGAAGGUGGGGAUGACGUCAAGUCAUCAUGGCCCUUACGAGUAGGGCUACACACGUGCUACAAUGGCGCAUACAAAGAGAAGCGACCUCGCGAGAGCAAGCGGACCUCAUAAAGUGCGUCGUAGUCCGGAUUGGAGUCUGCAACUCGACUCCAUGAAGUCGGAAUCGCUAGUAAUCGUGGAUCGGAAUGCCACGGUGAAUACGUUCCCGGGCCUUGUACACACCGCCCGUCACACCAUGGGAGUGGGUUGCAAAAGAAGUAGGUAGCUUAACCUUCGGGAGGGCGCUUACCACUUUGUGAUUCAUGACUGGGGUGAAGUCGUAACAAGGUAAGCGUAGUGCU